CUUGAUCGAACCGAGCAGCAGCGGCAGUUCACGGUCCUGCCCGUACGUCGCCAGCAACGCCUGCGCCUC
The sequence is a non-coding RNA, 69 nucleotides long. It matches the Rfam family "ASpks TB sRNA". The record is from Rfam.